This 472-nucleotide ribosomal RNA is filed under the name uncultured Magnetococcus sp. RNAcentral's name for it is "bacterial SSU rRNA". It matches the Rfam family "Bacterial small subunit ribosomal RNA", at positions 79 to 587 of the family's 1533-position model. Lineage: Bacteria; Pseudomonadati; Pseudomonadota; Magnetococcia; Magnetococcales; Magnetococcaceae. The record is from RNAcentral.
UUCGGGAUGCCGGCGAGUGGCGAACGGGUGAGUAAUACGUGGAAACCUAUCCCGAGGUGGGGGAUAACAGCUGGAAACGGCUGCUAAUACCGCAUAAGCCCUAAGGGGGAAAGAUUUAUCGCCUUGGGAGGGGUCCACGUCGGAUUAGCUAGUUGGUAGGGUAAAGGCCUACCAAGGCGACGAUCCGUAGCUGGUCUGAGAGGAUGGACAGCCACACUGGGACUGAGACACGGCCCAGACUCCUACGGGAGGCAGCAGUGGGGAAUAUUGCGCAAUGGGGAAACCCUGACGCAGCGAUGCCGCGUGGGUGAAGAAGGCCUUCGGGUUGUAAAGCCCUUUCAGUGGGGAAGAUAGUGACGGUACCCACAGAAGAAGCUCCGGCUAACUCCGUGCCAGCAGCCGCGGUAAUACGGAGGGGGCGAGCGUUGUUCGGAAUUACUGGGCGUAAAGGGCGCGUAGGCGGUGCAGCAAG